RNAcentral lists this long non-coding RNA (1529 nucleotides) under Lactuca sativa (garden lettuce). RNAcentral's name for it is "long non-coding RNA (LSAT_LNC006103)". The record is from RNAcentral. Lineage: Eukaryota; Viridiplantae; Streptophyta; Magnoliopsida; Asterales; Asteraceae.
UGGCAUAAAUUGUGGCAUAUACCAAUACCUCAUUGUUGCCAUUGCUUUGUGAAGAUAACAAAGAAAAAAUAAAAGAAAAAAAGAAAUCUAGGGUUCAUGUCUUUAUUCAAACCAUUGUCGAUGAACAAACAAACGAUGGAGGCGAAUAGUAGCUGAAACAAAACUCCAAAGCAUCAUGGAUUUCGGUGAGUUUUCUUAAGCCAUCUGAUUUGCUAGAUCGAAAUGGGUACCGCCUCUUCCUGCUUCUUCUUCACGCAUCUUUUUCUCUUUGUCUGGGUUUUUUGAAGCUAUCUGAUUUUCUGGAUCGAAAUUGGGUUCCGAUUUGCUGGUUCUUUUUCUCUAUUUACUGUUUCUGGGGAUCUGGUGUUGGGUUUCAUUUUCUGAUUUGCUGAAACGCAAACCCUCUCACUUUUCUCGUUGAUUCAAGUUGCAGAUACCAAAAAAUUAAAGUAUAUGGUUUGUCUAUCAUCCCUUUGUGUGCGUCUCUAUGUAUUUGGUGUUCUCCUUCUAUUUGUUUCUUUUAUUUUUAGCGCAUAUAAGGUUUGGUGAUGAUGGUUGUGUAUCAAGUGGUUAUAAGGUGGUUUUAUGGUGAUGAAUUGAAGUUGUAAUCAGAUAAUCAAGGAAGGAGAUGGAACGGUGACGAAGGGGGUGGCAUUGAUUUUUGUGAGCUCAUUAUUGAUUUUCUAUAUGAGGUUUGUAAUUGUAUAUUUAUAAAACUGAAAUUCUAUUGUAUGCAUUAGUGAUUUUAUGGUGUGUUUUAACUUUCGUUGUGUAUCUGUGUAGCUUGAGUUGCAGGUAAAGUUGUAACAAGAUGGAGAUGGUGAUGAGUUUUUUUGUUGACCGAUGUGUUUUGUGUUUAUGAGAGAGAGAGAGAGAGAGGCGUGGGCCCCAUAAUUUUUAUUAAUAAAACUUUAAAUUAAAUAGCAAAAAAACAUAAAAAAAGAAUAUAUCAAAAAGGCAUUUUAGUCUUUUCAGUUUUCUGAGGGACCAAAAACGCAACAAAACUAGUUUAAAAGGAUCAUCAAUCCAAAAAAGUUAUGGUUUGGACUAAAAUCCCAAAAAAUACAUACUACAUGAACCAUUUUUGCAAUUUUGUCUAACAAAAAUAAAUAAAUAAAAACAUAAGUAAUAAUAUUUGUUGCAACAAAACUAUCCGAUUGUAAGAAAUUUACUUAUAUACUUGUAGUUAUUUUCUUUUAUUUAUCUAUCUUUAAGAAAAUCUACGUACACACUCGAUAACCAUAACCGAAUGAAGUUUAAAACAACAUAAAAUAUUCAGAACUAUCCUUUAUAACAUGUAAUAAUUUUAACUGUGUUUAUAACAUGUAAUAAUUCUAACUAUUAGUAUCACAGAGUCAUUUCUAAGACCAUCUUCAACCCAUCUUCAUUUUUUCCUCCAUAAAUAGAGUAAAGAAUGGACUAAAUAGUGUUUCAUCUCCAACCCUACUUCAUUUUUUACCCCAAAAAAUAUAUUCCUAAAAUAUUCCAUUUUAUAACUUAUAUAUAUUAUGAAAUACACCCCUCUAUUG